UGGUUGUGCAGUUGCAGUUUUAAUUGUUUGUACAGUUGGAAUAGCAAAACUAUAAUUCUAGAAAUGAUCCCCCCCAAAUUAAUUUGUUCAUUAAUUUUGCAGGAGUUUGUUCUGGCAACCUUGCAUUACCUAAAUUAAAUCAGAUUUAUGUAGAGCCUGUGUGUUAAUAACAGUUCUCAGACUGUUUUUUCUUUACUUUUUAAAUAAUAAUAAUGCCUAUCUAUGAUAUUUACCGCUAGCUUCGAUCCUUUACUGCAAAAGAAAAUCGACGCUAAGUGAUGGUCUGAUAGGUAUGAUUACAUGCCUACCAGAGGGUUAACGUGGACAAAUAAAUUACUUAUCAUCACGAGUGAGCACAAAAUUAUAGCAAAGGAAGAUGAGUAAUGAGUUGUCGUCUCAGGAGUUAUAGUGCAAUUUGGGUUGCCUAUCCCUACAGUAGCGUUUUGAUUUUUUUCUGAAGGUCGCCAAACUUAUUUUUUUAAAUGUGCUGACGAAUAAAAAAGAAUUCCACAAAAAUUAGGGUAUAAGAUUCUAAAAAAUCGUUUCGUUUAAAAAUUUAGAAUUAGGACUGUUGUCAACAAGUUGGUAUUGAUCCAUGGAUGUCGCAUCAUUACUUAUUCGUGUCCCAUGAUACACAGCGUGACAUAUACUAAUCAAUAAUGGUUUUAAUAUUAAAUUAACCUCUAUAAAUCAAUGAAACGCUUAGAAAGCGCGCGAUUUCGAAUUCCAAAGCAUAAACGCCGGUCGAAUCGGGGACGUACGCGUAAUUUACGUUGCGUUACGACAAUGAUUUUAAAAAUACUAAGUCGAGCGUUACGGUCGAGGUGGGGCCGCGUCCUUCAGAUCGAGGCAAAGAAAGAGGCGGCAAACGGAAUUUGAAGAUAUUUUGCCGCUCAAACGCUACGCUAUACGACUAGGUAGGUCAGAGAGUAACAGGUAGAAAACAUUACAGUUAAAAGCUAAUGGGAGAACUAGGCGUGCCUCUACUAAUUAUCUAAUCAAACAAAUGCGUAAUUCGGUCGUGUUGUUUACUCACAAGGAGGACAUUUAAAGCGAGUUCAUCUCCUGGUGCUGAGACGAAAUGGAAUCGCCAACAAGUUCGGAUCUUCUACCCGAGAAAAACAUGCCAAUUUUCGACGAUCCGGUCAAGAAGCAGCCACAGAGCUACGGAUAUUCAAAGUGUACGUUGCAACGACGCUCGGAACGCGUAAACACGUUAAUUUCCAGUGAGCAUCGUUCUGCAAGUCACCUUUUUCGUGCUGAAACUGAUCAUGUUUAUCUCCGGUGUUAUUAACGUAAACGACUGCCCUCAGCAGCCCAUGGUGCAUAUCUAUCUUAUCGUUACGGGUAUUUUGGGAGUGGUCACAAAGUGUAUGUACAUAAUUAAUUGCAAAUACGAAAUCAAAGCGCUCCAUUACACUAUUAAUUUUCUAAGACUAGUCGAGUUCUUGUGGAUGAUUAUUGGGUGCUACUGUAUCUUUUCGAUCUACCAGCCCAAUUAUUCGCCAUACUUUGACCGGAAAUACUGCGAUCGGCACGGGUACCUAACGGCCUUCGCUCUCUUAAUAUUACACUUACUUUAUUUUGUUUGCGUUACAAUUAUGACACUCACAAAGUUUUCUAACGCGUGGUGAGUUUCGACAAUUAACCAUUAAUUAGUUAGUAGACAAUGUACAAUCAAACGCAUCUCAGGCAAUAAUGACACUCACUGUGAUACGUUUCAUCCCCACUGUUAUGUUUUUUUGAUAAUAAAUAUAUUUCUGUAAUAAUAAUAACAAUCUUUAUUCGUCGGAUUACACUAAAUAUAUUCAAACAUAUUCAGUGAUACAAAGAAACAAAAUACCAGAACACAUCCUUGUGAUUGCUGACACGUACGAUCACCGACAAAAAUAAUGAUAAAAUGAAGCUAACUGCCGCUUAGGCAACCAACCAUACACUAUACAAAAUGGCAACAUUGGAAGGGCGUGAUGGAGCAUGCUUUGGUGUUUUCCUUGGAUCGCCUCAUACGUCAUGGUGCUAAGAGCCAAGAUUAUCUUCUGGAGGCCGUUUACCUGCUGAAUGUUGAUAACACACGGAAUUUGUGGUGCUGUUAUUAGUGAUUGUCGAUCAAUUAUAUUUAAUUUUUUCGACUGAACUCGAUAGAAUUUAAUUACGUCUACGCAA
Molecule: RNA transcript, 2163 nt
Organism: Photinus pyralis (common eastern firefly)
Lineage: Eukaryota; Metazoa; Arthropoda; Insecta; Coleoptera; Lampyridae
Gene name: transmembrane protein 272-like
Exons: 5
Source: RefSeq, a predicted model, not a curated record